GGAAUUCACUACAAUUUCGAACUGAAAACACAGAGAACCUGCCAGUGCAGGAAGAGCUGCGGGCGUCUGUCUGACCCAAGGACUCUGAUGAGACCCCAGAAGUUCCAGAACACACGCGACAGUGGUGAGAGCCCACGCACACUGCCCGGGUUUUCAGGGACAGGUUCCUCUGCUAAGGGCUGCGAAGGCGUAAUGCCGGUCCUGGCAGACGUGAUAUCUAGACGAAGCCUAAGAUUUGAAGCACUCUCACUAUUAUACUGAAGGUCCCUCCCCGCUAGUUUGCGAGCCGAGCACGUGCCUCCACCAACCCGAGCCUCGGUUCCUUUUUUUCUUUUAACGCUGAUGGUCAUGCGGACCUCACAGAGCAGCUGUGGGGUUUGCACAAGCCACCCACUAAACGGAACGAAGCGUCUUGCGAACACAGCAGCAGGCGUCACUCAGGCGGCUGUGUUCUUUAGGUGCGAACUGACCUAACUCUCAGAACAACAGCAGCACCGUCCGGUGAGAAAGCGGACUCUCACCCGGGGGCCCUCUGUCGCCCCGCCUGCAGAUGGAGCACAGAAAACCCGUUCCCGGGGUGCUGCGCGGCGAGCCGGUUCGGUACAAGACUACAUUUCCCAUAUAACUCCGCGCCCGCUCCUUGCCUAGACUUGGCAGCGUUUCCGGUUUUUUAGACGGUUGGAAGAUGUUGACGUUGACCUCUGCUGCGUAGAUCGUCUCAGAAUCCCCAAAUGUUAGGGGUUAAACUUGAAGUCUACCGCCAAAUACAAUGCGUGGUCCUUGAGCAAAUCCUGAUUGAAUAAACAACAGCUGCCAGAGACAUUGAAGACAGCUGGGAAAACUUGAAUAUGCACUGGGUUUCUCUUCAGUGUAAAUAUGAUACGGAUGUCCAUAGAAAAACCUACUGGUUUCAUAAAGCAAUACAGGUCCAGGAAGAAGAGAAAGUGAGAAGGUGGCGCGUGUCUGGAGCUGGCGUUCAGAGCAGCGGGCCAGAGAAGCUGCAAUCACCUUGUUAGGACCACGAUGCAGGCGCUGGGACAAAGUAGGGCCAUACGCACAGCUCUCAAGUAAAACAAAUAACUUUCAAAAUUUAAAUGUUUCUGGGAAAUUACUAAAUUCUUUAAGAGAACGUACGUUUUCUAAAAAUAAACAUAUAAAAAUAACCCCCCC
This 1170-nucleotide long non-coding RNA is filed under the name Equus asinus (donkey). Its description in RNAcentral is "lncRNA (ENSEASG00005030263.1)". The record is from RNAcentral. Lineage: Eukaryota; Metazoa; Chordata; Mammalia; Perissodactyla; Equidae.